Molecule: non-coding RNA, 368 nt
Organism: Methylophilus sp. Leaf416
Lineage: Bacteria; Pseudomonadati; Pseudomonadota; Betaproteobacteria; Nitrosomonadales; Methylophilaceae
Source: Rfam
GAAGCCAACCAGACAGUCGCCGCUUGGCAUUUGCUAGGGGGAGGAAAGUCCGGGCUGCACAGAGCGGGAUGACGGCUAACGGCCGUACGCUGAAAGCUGGAAACAGUAUAAGGUGAGGAAUAGGGCCACAGAGACGAGUCGGUUCGACCUGGGAGCAACUUGUUGCGAGCUUGCGUCGAAACGGGUGAAACGCGGUAACCUCCAUCUGCAGCAAUAUCAAAUAGGCUGGCAUUUUACGCAAGUAAUAAGGCGUGGCUCGCGCUGCCAGCGGGUAGAUAGCUUGAGCGUGUGAGUAAUUGCACGCCUAGAGGAAUGACUGUCAGCUACGCAAGUAGUUACAGAACCCGGCUUACCGGUUGGCUUUACUC